CCUACGGGAGGCAGCAGUGAGGAAUAUUGGUCAAUGGACGGAAGGCUGAACCAGCCGAGUCGCGGGAAGGAAGAAGGAUCUAUGGGUUGUAAACUUCUUUUAUAGGGGAAUAAAGGGAUCCACGUGUGGAUAUUUGCAUGUACCCUAUGAAUAAGCAUCGGCUAACUCCGUGCCAGCCGCCGCGGUAAUACGGAGGAUGCGAGCGUUAUCCGGAUUUAUUGGGUUUAAAGGGUGCGUAGGUUUUUUUUUAAGUCAGCGGUGAAAGUUUGUGGCUCAACCUUAAAAUUGCCGUUGAAACUGGUAGACUUGAGUGUGUUUGAGGUAGGCGGAAUGCGUGGUGUAGCGGUGCAAUGCCUAGAUAUCACGCAGCACUCCGAUUGCGAAGGCAGCUUACUAAGCCAUAACUGACACUGACGCACGAAAGCGUGGGGAUCAAACAGGAUUAGAUACCCUUGUAGUC
RNAcentral lists this ribosomal RNA (460 nucleotides) under uncultured bacterium. Its description in RNAcentral is "partial 16S ribosomal RNA". It matches the Rfam family "Bacterial small subunit ribosomal RNA", at positions 338 to 795 of the family's 1533-position model. The record is from RNAcentral.